RNAcentral lists this ribosomal RNA (477 nucleotides) under uncultured bacterium. Its description in RNAcentral is "partial 16S ribosomal RNA". It matches the Rfam family "Bacterial small subunit ribosomal RNA", at positions 30 to 507 of the family's 1533-position model. The record is from RNAcentral.
AUUGAACGCUGGCGGCAUGCCUUACACAUGCAAGUCGAACGGUAACAGGUUAAGCUGGCGAGUGGCGAACGGGUGAGUAAUACAUCGGAACGUGCCCAGUAGUGGGGGAUAGCCCGGCGAAAGCCGGAUUAAUACCGCAUACGACCUAAGGGUGAAAGGGGGGGAUCGCAAGACCUCUCGCUAUUGGAGCGGCCGAUGUCAGAUUAGCUAGUUGGUGGGGUAAAAGCUCACCAAGGCGACGAUCUGUAGCUGGUCUGAGAGGACGACCAGCCACACUGGGACUGAGACACGGCCCAGACUCCUACGGGGGGCAGCAGUGGGGAAUUUUGGACAAUGGGCGCAAGCCUGAUCCAGCCAUGCCGCGUGCGGGAAGAAGGCCUUCGGGUCGUAAACCGCUUUUGUCAGGGAAGAAAUCCUUUGGGUUAAUACCUCGGGGGGAUGACGGUACCUGAAGAAUAAGCACCGGCUAACUACGUG